CUCCGCUGGAAACCUCUGGUC
This 21-nucleotide microRNA is filed under the name Cordylochernes scorpioides. Lineage: Eukaryota; Metazoa; Arthropoda; Arachnida; Pseudoscorpiones; Chernetidae. The record is from RNAcentral.